This 328-nucleotide ribosomal RNA is filed under the name uncultured eukaryote. RNAcentral describes it as "partial 18S ribosomal RNA". It matches the Rfam family "Eukaryotic small subunit ribosomal RNA", at positions 1470 to 1796 of the family's 1831-position model. The record is from RNAcentral.
CCCUUAGAUGUUCUGGGCCGCACGCGCGCUACACUGACUACUUCAACGAGUUGUUUCCUUGAUCGAAAGGUCUGGGUAAUCUUUGAAAGGUAGUCGUGAUGGGGAUAGAUCCUUGCAAUUUUUGAUCUUCAACGAGGAAUUCCUAGUAAACGCAAGUCAUCAGCUUGCAUUGAUUACGUCCCUGCCCUUUGAACACACCGCCCGUCGCACCUACCGAUUGAAUGGUCCGGUGAAUCUUUAGGACUGUGGCUGAGGCCUUGCCUUGUGCGGGUCUGGCCGUGGGAAUUUAGUUAAACCUUACCAUUUAGAGGAAGGUGAGGUCGUAACA